AUGAACGCUGGCCGCGUGCCUAAUACCUGCCAGUCGAGCGAACGGACGAGAAGCUUGCUUCUCUGAUGUUAGCGGCGGACGGGUGAGUAACACGUGGAUAACCUACCUAUAAGACUGGGAUAACUUCGGGAAACCGGAGCUAAUACCGGAUAAUAUUUUGAACCGCAUGGUUCAAAAGUGAAAGACGGUCUUGCUGUCACUUAUAGAUGGAUCCGCGCUGCAUUAGCUAGUUGGUAAGGUAACGGCUUACCAAGGCAACGAUGCAUAGCCGACCUGAGAGGGUGAUCGGCCACACUGGAACUGAGACACGGUCCAGACUCCUACGGGAGGCAGCAGUAGGGAAUCUUCCGCAAUGGGCGAAAGCCUGACGGAGCAACGCCGCGUGAGUGAUGAAGGUCUUCGGAUCGUAAAACUCUGUUAUUAGGGAAGAACAUAUGUGUAAGUAACUGUGCACAUCUUGACGGUACCUAAUCAGAAAGCCACGGCUAACUACGUG
Molecule: ribosomal RNA, 496 nt
Filed under: uncultured bacterium
Lineage: Bacteria
Description: partial 16S ribosomal RNA
Rfam family: Bacterial small subunit ribosomal RNA
Source: RNAcentral